This 370-nucleotide ribosomal RNA is filed under the name uncultured bacterium. RNAcentral's name for it is "bacterial SSU rRNA". It matches the Rfam family "Bacterial small subunit ribosomal RNA", at positions 28 to 400 of the family's 1533-position model. The record is from RNAcentral.
GACGAACGCUGGCGGCGUGCUUAACACAUGCAAGUCGAGCGGUAAGGCCCUUUCGGGGGUACACGAGCGGCGAACGGGUGAGUAACACGUGGGUGACCUGCCCUCAGCUCUGGGAUAAGCCUGGGAAACUGGGUCUAAUACUGGAUAUGACUCCACGGUGCAUGUCGUGGGGUGGAAAGCCUUGUGCGGCUGAGGAUGGGCCCGCGGCCUAUCAGCUUGUUGGGGGGUGAUGGCCUACCAAGGCGACGACGGGUAGCCGGCCUGAGAGGGCGACCGGCCACACUGGGACUGAGACACGGCCCAGACUCCUACGGGAGGCAGCAGUGGGGAAUAUUGCGCAAUGGACGAAAGUCUGACGCAGCAACGCCGC